GCCCUUAUAGCCCAACCGGCAGAGGCAACUGUCUUAAACACCGUCGAGUGCUGGUUCGACUCCAGCUAGGGGCACCA
RNAcentral lists this transfer RNA (77 nucleotides) under Chloroflexota bacterium. RNAcentral's name for it is "tRNA-Leu". It matches the Rfam family "tRNA". From Rfam's summary of the family: Transfer RNA (tRNA) molecules are approximately 80 nucleotides in length. Their secondary structure includes four short double-helical elements and three loops (D, anti-codon, and T loops). Further hydrogen bonds mediate the characteristic L-shaped molecular structure. tRNAs have two regions of fundamental functional importance: the anti-codon, which is responsible for specific mRNA codon recognition, and the 3' end, to which the tRNAs corresponding amino acid is attached (by aminoacyl-tRNA synthetases). tRNAs cope with the degeneracy of the genetic code in two manners: having more than one tRNA (with a specific anti-codon) for a particular amino acid; and 'wobble' base-pairing, i.e. permitting non-standard base-pairing at the 3rd anti-codon position. The record is from RNAcentral. Lineage: Bacteria; Bacillati; Chloroflexota.